This 254-nucleotide ribosomal RNA is filed under the name uncultured bacterium. Its description in RNAcentral is "partial 16S ribosomal RNA". It matches the Rfam family "Bacterial small subunit ribosomal RNA", at positions 79 to 334 of the family's 1533-position model. The record is from RNAcentral.
CUUUCUUUGCUGGCGACCGGCGCACGGGUGAGUAACACGUAUCCAACCUGCCCUUUACUCGGGGAUAGCCUUUCGAAAGAAAGAUUAAUACCCGAUAGCAUAAUGAUUCCGCAUGGUUUCAUUAUUAAAGGAUUCCGGUAAAGGAUGGGGAUGCGUUCCAUUAGGCUGUUGGUGAGGUAACGGCCCACCAAGCCUUCGAUGGAUAGGGGUUCUGAGAGGAAGGUCCCCCACAUUGGAACUGAGACACGGUCCAA